CGGGCGGGAGGCGGCCGGAGCCCCGCUCCCCGGCCAGACCCUCGCCAAGUGGGCUCGGCAGGGGGGCGACGAGCGGAGAAAGGAGAAGGGGAAGGAGCAGGAGCAGGAGCAGGGCGGGCUCCCCUCUCCGCCCCCCGGCUGGGCGGCCCCUGCGCGGUGCUGCUGCUGCUGCUGCUGCUGCUGGUGCUGAAGGUGAAGCUCCGGCUCUCCAAUUACUUUUCCCAAGAGGGAGAAGGAGGCAGCAGGAGGGGAAGGAGAGCCGUGUGGGGAAGGCAGGCCAAUCAGAGCCGCGGUAACGGAGGGAUUGCUGCAGGACGCCGCGGGUUUUCCUCCCGUCCUCCGCCGCCGGGGCUGAAUUGGGACCGCACACAGCUGGCGGAGGGGCCGGAGCCGCACCGGGCUGCAGGACUUCCUCGCCCCAUAGCCAGCCCCUAAUUCUCCUCCUCCUCUCCGUGUUUUAUUUAUUUAUUUAUUUUUUUAAUACUCCGAGCCACUUCGAGUCUCCCCUCCCUCCCCACGCACUUCGCCCUCCCUCCCGCAUCCCCCCAGCCGGAUUCCCGCUCCGUUCCCCGACAGCCGGGGGACAGCCGGGCACCGACGGCCGCCUGCCUGCCUGCCUUUCCCCUCCGUGCCGAGCCGAGCCGAGCCGAGCCAAGGGGAGCCGAGGCGGGCGCGGCGCCGCUCCAUGCCCCCGGGCGCCGGCGAUGCUGGGGCGGUGAGGCCGGGGCUCCCCCUCGCCGGGAGGCGGCCGCUCGCGGGGUGCUGCCAGCUCGGAGCGGGGCUGCAGGAUGAAUAAGAGAUACUUACAGAAAGCAACAAAAGGAAAGCUGCUAAUAAUAAUAUUUGUUGUAACUCUGUGGGGGAAAUUAGCAUCUGGGGCAAAUCACCAUAAAGCUCACCAUGUUAAAACCGGGACCUGUGAAGUGGUGGCACUCCACAGAUGUUGCAAUAAGAACAAGAUAGAAGAAAGAUCACAGACAGUGAAGUGCUCCUGCUUCCCUGGGCAGGUAGCAGGUACCACCCGGGCAGCUCCUUCUUGUGUUGAUGCUUCAAUAGUGGAGCAGAAAUGGUGGUGCCACAUGCAACCAUGUCUUGAAGGGGAGGAAUGUAAGGUUCUUCCAGAUCGUAAGGGAUGGAGCUGUUCCUCUGGGAAUAAAGUGAAAACAACUAGGUCUUUUAUGCCGCCAUGCUGCAGUCCCACUGUGGAGUUUUGAUCACCACAAAAACCACAAGAGGAUAUAUCCUUGUCUGAAUUACAACAGCUAUUAUCUGUUACAGAAAGUAAAAUAAGGCAAACGUGUAAAACUCUUCAAGUCCGAAUGGAGAAGUAGAGAAAGGAGGUUUCUGCUGUGCCUGAUGACAAUUUUUGAUUUUUCCACACACACAAAAUAUUCUGGCUCCACGUUGGAGCACUAGUUGCACUAGUCUUGGUCGGAUUCUAAGGAAGGGCCAGAACGUUCGUUGAGGAAUAAAGAGUCAAACCACUCCAGAAAAUGUGAUCCAGCCCUGGUUUAUUACUCACAGAGCAGCAGGUAACCCGAUAGCUAAAGACAAAUCAAGUCAGUCUCAAGGCUGAUAACGUUAAAUACCACACAUAGGAAUUUCAUUCCUCCAGGCAAUCGUUGAAGUGAAAUUUUAUGCUGCUGGGGUGUAUCCUUCAGAAUCAAUUGUUUCAAUGAGAACCUGGUUUGCUAUCAGCAACAGCCUUGAGAUCAAAACUACAGUUAUUUUGAACUUCUGUGAAAGUUAUUUUGAACUUCUGUGUCACAAAGAUUUCAGUGGAUUGAACUCUAUACACUUGUAAAAUUGUACUUGCUGAGGAAUUUGCAGCUGUAACCUCAAGAGGAGAUGUUCAAAAUGUGCAGAAAAGCAGCAAUCAUUUGGAUUCUCCGUUCCAGACCGGUGACUUUUCAUCCUGAUGAAACCAGCCUCCAAAAUGUAUUGGUUCCUUCUCUUUAAAAUGAUCCCUGGUCCACCAUUCAGAUUGCUGGUGGGACUGCACACCGCUUUAAAUAAAUUUCCGUUGCAGAAUUUGUCCUCUGGCAUGGCACAGUUUUAGACAUUUUUAUUUGUAUUCUAAUCUCGGAGCUCUGAAGGGUACAUAUUUCAACAUCUUGAAGUUGCUUUUGUUAUAGGAAUGGAAAUAUAUAUCCAUUGUUAAUAAUUAUUGUUGACAAGUAAUAGUUAUCUGAAUACAUCAGUCAUAUUAGAAUGUAUAGUCAGGUUGACAUGUUUCCCUAAGGCUAACCAACUACUGCAGCUCUUUGGCAGUUAAAAAAGUAGUGGUCAAAACUCAAUUACCACUUCCAUUAUAAGGCAUUUUAUACCUUUAAGAUAUACAUUUCAAUUUAGUUUGAAGGAGAUGAGUGUUCCUGUACUUUACUUUCGUAACCUUUAAUUCAUUGAAAUUCAUGGUAAGCAGUCAAAGACAGUAUUUCAUCCCCUUUUGUAAAGGUAGGCAGGGUUGUAAAUGAGGUUUGCAAUUAUGAAAUUAGAUGGUAAUCAUUCAGAAUUUUUCUCUUUUUAUUAAAAAAUAAAAUCUCUUGCUUGAAACUAAGUACUGUUGGAUGCUUAUGUAGAUGUCUGCUCACUCUCUUUGGUAUAAAGGAAAAAAGUCCUAGUGCCCUCCCAGAUUCACAGUUCAUGAGUAUUUUGCUUGCUUACUGUCAUUCAAUUCAUACCUGAUCCAUGCCAAAUUCACAUUUAUUUUUUUUUCUAUUUUAGUAGCAAUUUUUUGAACUUUGUGAUGUGUCGUUACAUAAAAAAAAAUCCUCAGUAUUUAAAGGCCUUAAGCAUCUAUGAGCUUUUUUCUAAGUUAUUACAGAAUGUAUAAUUUUAUACUCCAUUUAAUGUAUAUUGUGUCAUCUGUAAUGUUGAUAGAACAGAAAUUUGGCAAUUCCUUUUAGUGACACUGUAUGAGCAUGCUGGCUUACAGAGUAAGGGAGUUCUGACUGUAUGCUUUGGUGCAUUAAAUGAAAACCACACACACUUAGUGGUAGUCAAAAUAUAUAUAGGGUCAAGCUUAUUUAAAAGUCCGGUGUGGUUACCAGACUCUCAGAAAAAGAGAGAAACAAUUUUAUCAUUACAAUCCAUUGACAUGGCUAGGUAGUUUUAUAUUAAGUUCCAUGAUGGAUGAACACCCUGGAGUGCUCUGCCUCCCAUGGUAUCCCCUGCUGUUCCCAAACCGUUUCAUUACCUCUGUUAUAUUACUGCACAGGAGAGUUAAAUAAAAUAAAUGAUUGUUCAGAAUAAAAUUGAGAAGUAUAUUCUAUCAUUCAGCUGAAAAAUAAUCAGAAAAGUUGUCAGAGAAAGAUUUUUUUUCUGAUUAAAUUUUAAUUAGGAUAAACUGUAGCAGCAACUAGGUAUCUCAGUAUGUUAGGAUGGAUUAAUAUUGUAUGGAUUUGUGCUAGCAGGUGCGGUACAGAAGGUAGCAUCUUAAAAAGAUUGAGACGGUACAAAGUAUAAAUGUGCUAUUUUGUAAAAUCUGGAUAUGGCCUGUCUUUGGUCAAAAAUCUGCAUCAUGCUUCUCAAUAUUUGUUUUUGGUUCUUUGUUCCUAAACCAACAUUGACAAUAUUGUAUUAUAUACAAGUGUAACACAUGCAUAUCAAUAAGCAAAAAUAAAUGGAUUUUCAAAUAUACUGAAUAGAUUAUCUGCAGUAGAUUACUGUUGUGAAUAUUCAUGACAAGUGAAUAAAAUUGUGAUAUAAAAUAGAGUAACCUAA
Oxyura jamaicensis (ruddy duck) is the source of this 3723-nucleotide RNA transcript. It is a transcript of the gene named TAFA chemokine like family member 2, with no coding region annotated. Lineage: Eukaryota; Metazoa; Chordata; Aves; Anseriformes; Anatidae. The record is from RefSeq and is a predicted model, not a curated record. The transcript is spliced from 7 exons.